RNAcentral lists this signal recognition particle RNA (98 nucleotides) under Prevotellaceae bacterium. RNAcentral describes it as "signal recognition particle sRNA small type". It matches the Rfam family "Bacteroidales small SRP". From Rfam's summary of the family: The non-coding component of the signal recognition particle in Bacteroides The record is from RNAcentral. Lineage: Bacteria; Pseudomonadati; Bacteroidota; Bacteroidia; Bacteroidales; Prevotellaceae.
GGGUAAGUCCUAUACGACCAGCUCCUAACAAACCCUCCAGGGCGGGAACGCAGCAAAGGUAGUUAGUUGUAGCGGUGCGAUAUAGUUCGCUUACCCUU